Molecule: ribosomal RNA, 497 nt
Filed under: uncultured bacterium
Lineage: Bacteria
Description: partial 16S ribosomal RNA
Rfam family: Bacterial small subunit ribosomal RNA
Source: RNAcentral
GAUGAACGCUGGCGGCGUGCCUAAUACAUGCAAGUCGAACGCAUAGCGAAAGGUGCUUACACCUUUCAAGUGAGUGGCGAACGGGUGAGUAACACGUGGACAACCUGCCUCAAGGCUGGGGAUAACAUUUGGAAACAGCUGCUAAUACCGAAUAAAACUUAGUGUCGCAUGACACAAAGUUAAAAGGCGCUUCGGCGUCACCUAGAGAUGGAUCCGCGGUGCAUUAGUUAGUUGGUGGGGUAAAGGCCUACCAAGACAAUGAUGCAUAGCCGAGUUGAGAGACUGAUCGGCCACAUUGGGACUGAGACACGGCCCAAACUCCUACGGGAGGCUGCAGUAGGGAAUCUUCCACAAUGGGCGAAAGCCUGAUGGAGCAACGCCGCGUGUGUGAUGAAGGCUUUCGGGUCGUAAAGCACUGUUGUAUGGGAAGAACAGCUAGAAUAGGAAAUGAUUUUAGUUUGACGGUACCAUACCAGAAAGGGACGGCUAAAUACGUG